ACCUUUUCUUUCAUUCUUUCCCUACGUUUCUCUCUCUACAAAUCAGAGGUUUCUCCCCUCCUCUCUAACUCACUCUUCAUACCUCAUUCUCCUUUCACUCAAUCUUCAUCAAAGUUUAAUCCAAACUUACCAAAGUCAUCAUGUAAUUUUAAUUUAUUAAUCCUCAACUCUUUUAAGCCAUAAAACAAGCUUCAUUUUCCCCUUUGUGGCCCAAAUCGAGCCACACCACAUUUGAGUCAUGAUGUUAAGCUGCAAAACAACAUGGAUGUUUGGAUUGAAACUGAAUAUGGUUUAAUUUGGUAAAACAGAAACAAGAAGAGAAGGAGAAUUAAGGCUAGGGUUUGGGUGUUGAUUGAAAUGAUUAUGCUAGCUGAGUUCUUAAGAAGAUAUGCUGAAGCUGAAAUUUGAAGCAAUAGAAGAAAGAGUUUGUGUAGAAGUUGUGGUUUGGCAAGAAUAUGCAUAUACUGUUCUGAUGGAAUUUUUGCUUGGGUAAUUUUACAAGUGUGAAUUAGGGAUUAGAAUCAUUUGGAGGACAAAUUGUGGAGAUAAUUGCAGACAAGUUGAAAUUGCGGUACACUAUGGGAAGUGAGACCACAAUUCCUGCUCUAUCAGAUGGUGUACAGAAAAUUAGAGCAUUACUUGGGAAUUGACAAAGAGUGUCGAAUUCGUGCCAUUAUAUCUCUGACUUUCCACCUUUCUAAUGAGCACCUCUUUCUUAGUUUACGGAUUACUCAGCGUUGAUGUCUUCAUUUAUGUGCCAAAUGGGAUAGGAACCCUUUUGGGAAUGACCCAGUUGAUAUUAUACUUCUAUUAUGAGAGUAAAUCUAGAAGAUUAGACGCCGAAGAACCGCUGAUAGUGUCAUAUGCUGAUAUGCAUGAUCACUUCUGCUGAAAAGAUGAAGAAACCUGUCGCAAAAGCUCCCGCUCCUUCAAAGAAGACACCAGCUAAAAAUGGGAAUGUGAAGAAAGCCCAGCCAGAGACCACUUCAGAGGAAUCUGACUCUGAUGACAGCUCCUCUUCCGGCGAGGAAGAAGUGAAAGUGAGUGCAGCAAAUUUAAAGAGCCAUCUUGAAGUUUAUUGCAUGAUAUUCUGUUGAUUCGUAUCUAAACAUUAAAUACACAUCUUGAAGUUUAUACAUAACAAUCAGAAUAUCGCUUUCUUCUUCAUCAAAGGUGAGCUUUUUAUCUUUUGAUAAACCUAAUACCAUCCAUGUUUUAGAUUGAAUGUGUUUUUUGUGUUCUUUGUUUUGUUUUUGUUUUCGAUAUUGCAUUGCAUGCCGAAGGCUUGGUUUUUGCUGAAUUUUUUUUAAUUUGAUUGGUGUUAGUUUGUGUUAAUUAUUUUUAGUUUCUAAUGAGUGAGGAGGUAAUCCAGUUUUGGAAGUUUUGAUACUAUCAAAAAAAUUGGAUUGAAGCUAUGUGUUUGUAUAUGUGCUGUUUGGAAUGUGUUAAAUUAAUUCUUUUCCUCUUUCUUUUCCACUUCACCAACACUCACCAAUUCUGCAUGACAGAAUUUCUUUCUUAGCAGAAAUGUGAGUCUAACUGAGUCUAUUUGUUCUCCUGUUAUCUCUAUUUGAUCCUUGCUAUCUCCUUUUAUAGCUGCACUUUCCACUCCUGAAUAUUUUUGCACAUGAUUAGUUUGGACUUUAAUAAUUAAGCUAUGGUUUUGAACUAAUUUUGAAUUGAAAAUAAUUAAUGGUGACAAAAUCAGUGAAUUUUAUUACCUGAAACUCCAACUCAUGGCUUUGGACCUUGAUUUUUGGCUGUUCAUUGACACCUUGAUCACUAUCUUUUGCUGCAAACAUUUCACAAUCAAAGAUAUAUAAUUAACUUAUGUUUUGAAAGUCAUCACCAACUCUCUAGCUCAUCAAGUCAUAGAAACUAACAUAUCAUGUGAACUAAUAAAGAAGAUUAAUAUACUAAUCUUUUCUUCGAAAGUUUUGGUGGACUUUGUUAAAUUUUUCAAAUAUUCUUCAUUUAUUAUAAUGAUACAAAUAAAAACAAAAAUAUCAAUCAUAAGCAUUCUUCUCCCUCUUUCCCUACAUUUUCCCUCUCAAUUUCCAAGUAAGGGAUAUAUAUUGAAAGUACGUUAAUUGAAUUUAUAUUAUAUAUGUAACAAAUGUACUAACUAUAUAUUUUGAAUAAAGGAGGUAACACUACUUAGCAGGAGUUAAAUUAUUCAUUACCUUAGCCGUAAUACUUAUGAGAUAUAAAUAAACGGAUUAGAAGAAGCUUUGUUUCCGGAAUGGUGUAUUGUUAAAGUUGUAGGAAAAUGCUCGAGCAAUUACUCAUGCAUUUUACUUUAUUUAUAGGCAUUAGUUCUUUGUGGAAUAAAUUAAAUGCGUGGUAGACAAGUGUGAUUUCUUCCACUCUUUUUUUUUCUGAAGGAGCUUCUUCCACUUGUAUUUUGUAUGAAAAUAUAUGCACAAGAAGUAAAUGUUUUCUUUUAAGUCAAUGGUUGCAGUUAGUUCGAUUAGUUGCAGGAAAUUGCUGAGCCUUAUGUGUUGAGGUGUGUUGAUGAAGAAAAAAAUCAAAAACAUACAUGCCAGUGGAUAAGAUUGAUCAUGCUCUUGAGACGAUUAAGAGUAAUGAGAUUCAGAAUGUGCUUGCGCUCAGAGGUGAUCCGCCUCAUGGGCAGGAGAAGUUUGUUCAGACUGGAGGAGGGUUUGCUUGUGCGCGUGAUUUGAUGCAUGGUCGAGAUAUGAAAAGGGAUUUAGUAUAGGAUGCAAAGUCUGUGUCUAAGCCUGCUACUGUUGCAAAAAAAAGUAUGAAAGAUAGCUCAGAUUCUGACGAUGAAGAUGAUGAUACUAGCUCUGAAGAAGAGAAGAAACCUGUGGCUGCUAAGAAAGAGGUUAGUGAAUCGGAGAGUGAUUCGUCUGAUGACGAGGAUAAGAUGAAUGCUGACAAGGAUAGUUCCGACUCUGAUGAGAGUGAGGAUGAACCAUCGAAAAGACCUCAGAAAAAGAUAAUGGUAAGCCUAAUAUCUGCAACAAUUGGUCGGGUUCAAUUUUAGGGCUAGGAGAGUAUAGGUUUCAUAUUUUCAAUCUGCUCAGUCAGUUCCCUUUUAGGCGCAAUACUAUGCCAAUACGCGCUAAAGGAUUACGCAUUCAGAGACUUACUCUUUUGGACUCAGUUGCUCUAUGGUCUAUCAGGGAUGUUUGAUCUAAUUUUAGUCAUGAGAUUGAACCUGAAGUUUGGUAUACUGGAUUACAUCUUUGUUGUGAUUGUCGAAAGCAUAGCGCAAGUGACUAUUAAGCUAAAGUGGAUGGAUGCCUAUGCUUGUACUCAGCUCAAAGCUUUGUCCAUCUGGCAUUGAAGGAACAUUCUUUGCUCUAUUAAUGUCAAUUGAUAAUGCUAGAAUUCUUUCAUCAUAAUGGGGUGUUGGAUUUGUACUUCAUGUACUAAAGAUUACAAGAACAAAGUUUGAGAAUCUUUGGUUAUCGAUUUUAUUCCGAAUAUUUUGAUUCGUAUUUUAAUGACAAUACAAAUCUAACCCUUUUUUGGUAAUCAA
Medicago truncatula (barrel medic) is the source of this 3508-nucleotide RNA transcript. It is a transcript of the gene named probable folate-biopterin transporter 2, with no coding region annotated. The transcript is spliced from 9 exons. The record is from RefSeq and is a predicted model, not a curated record. NCBI's taxonomy places the organism in Eukaryota, Viridiplantae, Streptophyta, Magnoliopsida, Fabales, Fabaceae.